AGCUGCUGUUAGUCAGCAGUGUCUCUCAUGUAAUUGUAGUACAGUGAGCUGUUGUGGUCUUGUGUCUGCCUGCCUGCCUGUCUGUCUGUCUGCCUUCCUGUCUGUCUGCUGAGGAUUUCCAUCUCCUUCCGGGAUACCCUCUUUACCGGGGACCCAGGAGGAGAGAGGAAGAGAGGAAAGAGCGUGCCUUGUUUGACCUUCGGAGCGGUUUCAGAGUGAGGAAGAAGGAGAGGAACGGGCGAGAAAAGCAGAAUCCAUCAGGAGUAGACCAAGGUGUAGCGUGAUCGUUCACAGCUUUGUGGAAGUUACCUGUGACGC
This 318-nucleotide long non-coding RNA is filed under the name Salmo salar (Atlantic salmon). RNAcentral's name for it is "lncRNA (ENSSSAG00000094157.1, ENSSSAG00000121725.1)". Lineage: Eukaryota; Metazoa; Chordata; Actinopteri; Salmoniformes; Salmonidae. The record is from RNAcentral.